AUGCAAAAAGUUCUAAAAAUUAUCAAAAUGCUCUUUAUUGAAGUUUUUUCUUUUUCCACUGACCCAUGGGAUGUAUUAAAAGUGGACAAAUGGGCCUAUUUCCUGAUAGGAAGAGUAACCAAGAAGACCAUCUGCAAGAACAAGGGUGUGAGGUCAAAUUCCAAUAAAAUAAUGCAAAGAGAGAAACCCUCACCUAAAUCUCUGUCUAAAUCAUGUAUCAUCAAUCAUCAAUCGACACUGCGCUGGGUACUAGCUUGUGUGCUGCGCCUUUUGAGGAUUCAGAGAGUAUGGGAUAUAAAGGAAUGUCAAGGGAUUUGGAGGACCAUGUCUCACAUCCAGCUCACUAAGGGCACAUGUUCCAAGAUUCCCAGUGGAUGUACGAAACAAAGGACUAUAUCAAACCUAUCCAAAUGAUUUUUCUUAUACUUACACAUUUACGAGAGAAAAGAGUUCAGGUGAUGCAAAUGGCAUAAAAGAAAGAUGGAAACAACAGAGGACUCAUGAAUCAUAAAGAAUUGUUGCAUUCCUUCAGAUUUCAUGCCUAUCAUUUGCAAAACAUCCCUUGGAAUGUAGCUCAAAGUCAGAGAA
This 588-nucleotide long non-coding RNA is filed under the name Chinchilla lanigera (long-tailed chinchilla). RNAcentral's name for it is "lncRNA (ENSCLAG00000027141.1)". Lineage: Eukaryota; Metazoa; Chordata; Mammalia; Rodentia; Chinchillidae. The record is from RNAcentral.